AGAAUCAACGCUGGCGGCGUGCCUAACACAUGCAAGUCGAACGAGAAAGGGGAGCAAUCCCUGAGUAAAGUGGCGACCGGGUGAGUAACACGUGACUAACCUACCCUCGAGUGUGGAAUAACAUCGGGAAACCGAUGCUAAUACCGCAUAACAUCGGCGCUUUUAAGAGAUGCCGAUCAAAGGAGCAAUCCGCUUGAGGAGGGGGUCGCGGCUGAUUAGCUAGUUGGCGGGUAACGGCCCACCAAGGCGAAGAUCGGUAGCCGGCCUGAGAGGGCGCACGGCCACACUGGAACUGAAACACGGUCCAGACUCCUACGGGAGGCAGCAGUGGGGAAUUUUGCGCAAUGGGGGAAACCCUGACGCAGCAACGCCGCGUGGAGGAUGAAGCCCUUGGGGCGUAAACUCCUUUCGACCAAGACGAUAAUGACGGUACUGGUGGAAGAAGCACCGGCUAACUCUGCGCCAGCAGCCGC
This 473-nucleotide ribosomal RNA is filed under the name uncultured bacterium. RNAcentral describes it as "SSU rRNA". It matches the Rfam family "Bacterial small subunit ribosomal RNA", at positions 26 to 518 of the family's 1533-position model. The record is from RNAcentral.